RNAcentral lists this long non-coding RNA (1428 nucleotides) under Gossypium raimondii (Peruvian cotton). RNAcentral describes it as "long non-coding RNA (GRAI_LNC001037)". The record is from RNAcentral. Lineage: Eukaryota; Viridiplantae; Streptophyta; Magnoliopsida; Malvales; Malvaceae.
UCACCCGCCGCGACCGGUCCCUCCUCAUCCACCACGACCAUUCCCUCCUCCUCAUCCUCAUCGCCCUCAGCCAACACCAUGCCCUCCUACGCAGCCAGGGCCACCGCCCAGGACUUGCCCUCCUGGUUUGCCUCCGCCCCUAACAGGUGAUCAUUCACCAUCAAGGAGUUGAAGUUGUUGAACAGAAUCCAGUUAAAGAUUCAACUUAUAUAUGCACUAUCUGCUUGCUUUCUUCACAAAAGGGAAACUAAAAUAAAUGCCUUGUAUACGUUACGAUAGAACUCCCCAGUUGUUUGCAUUUUCCUGAAAUUUUUAUUAAGAAAACUGUUUGGUGUUUUAAAUCAUUGUCAAAACUCAAUAAAUAAUGGUUCUUCCAUAUACUCGAAACAGUCAUAUGCAAGAGCAAGAUUCUCAUACAAAAGAAUGCGAUUGAAAUGCAAAAUUAAUGGGACAUCAAUCAUGAUAUUAGUCGUUCGUGACCAAAGUAUUGCCAGAGCAUAACAAGAACAAUAAAAAAGCUUCCAUAAAAACCCAUAGGCCAUAUUUUUGUAAGAGACCACAUAGUUUCAGAGGUUUAUAUCUAAUACAUCCUAGUUUUCACUACUCUAUAACUUUGAUUCUACCGCAUAAAUAAACCUAAAAACCAACUAGUAGGACUUACCACCACCUGUUUGAAAUCUAAACCAAAUUACAAUUCAAAAUCUUCCAAUUUAAACAACAUAAUAGAAAUGUAAGACAAAAGUACUCAACACUAAUUUAAGAUUUUUGUUUUACUGCAAAAGAUCAAACCCCCUACUUAUUGAACAGAAGGGGGAAAUAGGAAAUUUUUUACUUUAAGAUUGAUGUGAGCCGUAUCAGCAGGCUUCUUGCCUCCUUCUUGAUUGGCUACUCCUGACAUCUUCUUCUAUCUAUGGGCCAUACGGGAUUAGUAGGGUUCAAAAUAGCAGUGGCAUAGUGGUUCGCAGCCGCUAUUUCGCAGUAGCGGCGCCCCCGACACCACUAAACACAGUUCAACAAAUUUAACAUGCAGCGGAUGGCAGCCGCAAGUAGCAGUGUAACGGGAAAUAGCGGCGAUAACAAGUCCGCUAUUUCAGCAAAAUCGAUGGGAGCAGUGCAGCAGACGCAGAGACGAGAAACAGAAACCGAGCCUGCCAUAACUCAAAAUCUGAUGACUCAAGUAGAAAUCAAUGUUUAAAUUAAGUUUAGGGUAUCAAAAAUUACCUUAGCUAAAUUCCUGGUCUCUCGGCAACUUGAAGGCGCUUGGGUCCUGAAGAGGUGGGUGGCUCGGGAAUUUUCGAAGGAGUGUUUAUUCGGACUAAGAGUUUUAUUUGAAUUUUAAAUUGUAAAUAUCUGGAAUGGGUUCAAUCAAUGGGAUUGGUCUCGAAACUAUUUUUUUUUAUUUAAAAAAUCGAACUUUAAUAAAUUGGA